Molecule: ribosomal RNA, 468 nt
Filed under: uncultured bacterium
Lineage: Bacteria
Description: partial 16S ribosomal RNA
Rfam family: Bacterial small subunit ribosomal RNA
Source: RNAcentral
GACGAACGCUGGCGGCGUGCUUAACACAUGCAAGUCGAACGGAAAGGCCCUGCUUUUGUGUGGUGCUCGAGUGGCGAACGUGUGAGUAACACGUGAGUAACCUUCCCUUUACUUUGGGAUAACUUCAGGAAACUGGGGCUAAUACCGGCUAGGAGCUCCUGCUGCAUGGUGGGGUUUGGAAAGUUUCGGCGGUUGGGGAUGGACUCGCGGCUUAUCAGCUUGUUGGUGGGGUAGUGGCUUACCAAGGCUUUGACGGGUAGCCGGCCUGAGAGGGUGACCGGCCACAUUGGGACUGAGAUACGGCCCAGACUCCUACGGGAGGCAGCAGUGGGGAAUAUUGCACAAUGGGCGGAAGCCUGAUGAAGCAACGCCGCGUGCGGGAUGACGGCCUUCGGGUUGUAAACCGCUUUCGCCUGUGACGAAGCGUGAGUGACGGUAAUGGGUAAAGAAGCACCGGCUAACUACGUG